Long non-coding RNA from Pezoporus flaviventris, 1385 nucleotides. RefSeq lists it as uncharacterized. Lineage: Eukaryota; Metazoa; Chordata; Aves; Psittaciformes; Psittacidae. The transcript has 3 exons. The record is from RefSeq and is a predicted model, not a curated record.
UGCUCCUGGGGACACUGGGAGCUGUGGGGGCUGCUUCUGGGUCCCCAGACCGCUGCAAGUGCGAAGGGGAAGGCACUCGCUUCCCCAGAGGAAAUCCAUCCGUCCUCCAAACAGUGGCUUUGCAGGGAGGAGGCCCCUGCUUAGCAAGAGAAAGCACCGUGCGUGGCAGAGAAUGAAUAAUUGAUUCGGGUGACAGGGAUUCACAGAUGUGACAUCAUCGUUGGGUGCAUUAGGAUGCUGAGCACCCCUGGGGGGAUAUGAGGAGUUCGAUGACCCAGGGAACUCAAAGAUAUUCAUGCAUAAUUUAUUUUACAGGGGAAAUAGGAAACCGGAGCAGCCCAUAAAAUUCUGAUCGCAUCCCAUUUCUUUGGUUGUGUCUCCCUCAAAAGGGUGUUCUAGGGGGGACAUUAUAUCCGUACAUGAAAAUACCAGCUUUCCAUAGGGAACAUUUUUCUCCGUGAGCAAAAUCCCAAGUCAUUGUACCUUAAUUUAAAAGCUAAGUCUUUUUUAAUUAUUGUAGCUCACUGAAGCAGGAGUGCAAAAAUAAUAGGUAAAUCAAAAGGGAGAAACCCAAAAGGCAAAACAGGCCACUGAGCUUCAUCUGGUAAGUGGGUAACAGCUUGAAUCCUGGUGCUCAAAGAAUCCCUCUGAAGUUCAGUCUUGUAAAAUCACACUUUCUCUCUUAACCCCUACACCAGUAGCAUGUCCUGCAAGGGUAUCUCUCUCCACAGAGGCAAUUUGGUGGUGGUAUCACCUGCAGUGCCUGGCUGCUGCGUGAUUUCAGAGGCUGAAAACCUCUUUUGAUGCCAGCCUUUCUCUCGUCUUUAGUGGAUGUUCUUUGCUCUCGUUUUUUUGAAUGAGUUUCUUUUGUUCCUCCUUUUCCCCCCCUCUGGUUUUGUUCCUCUCCUUUCUCUCCUAAAUUGCACAGCUUUCUACCAGCUUUUAUCCUCCCUUUCUUUUUUUCUUACAGAUUUUGAGUGUAAAUGAAGAAUGCACCUCUUAAGGGAGCAGAUGUAUGAAAAGCCUUCAUUUUGCAGUUGGAUUAACUCCUUGAUUGUCACUGGCAACAUUAUGCAAACUCAAUGGAUUUUGCAGUGUGUAUCUGCUGGGAACCUCAGCCGGGGCAUCUUGAGGAGCUCAGAAGUGAACCCAUGGGCAAGACACCAGCACAGCCAGCUGCAGACCUGUUAUGGUGCAAAAUGGCAAUCUGACCAAUAUGAUCUCCUUGCUACAGAGUACAUGAGCUACCAGAACUAAAAUGGUGAAUCCCUUUGCACCAUUUCUUGCACGUGAGGCAGGCACACAUGCACAUCUCAGCCAUGUGUUUGCCCUCCCUAGAAAACAGCUUUGAGAGAUCUUUCGGUGAGCAGUAAAUAAGCCUUGUA